AGUGAACGCUGGCGGUAGACCUAACACAUGCAAGUCGAACGGCAGCACAGUAAGAGCUUGCUCUUACGGGUGGCGAGUGGCGGACGGGUGAGGAAUACAUCGGAAUCUACUUUUUCGUGGGGGAUAACGUAGGGAAACUUACGCUAAUACCGCAUACGACCUACGGGUGAAAGCAGGGGAUCUUCGGACCUUGCGCGAUUGAAUGAGCCGAUGUCGGAUUAGCUAGUUGGCGGGGUAAGGGCCCACCAAGGCGACGAUCCGUAGCUGGUCUGAGAGGAUGAUCAGCCACACUGGAACUGAGACACGGUCCAGACUCCUACGGGAGGCAGCAGUGGGGAAUAUUGGACAAAGGGCGCAAGCCUGAUCCAGCCAUACCGCGUGGGUGAAGAAGGCCUUCGGGUUGUAAAGCCCUUUUGUUGGGAAAGAAAAGCAGCAGGUUAAUACCCCGCUGUUCUGACGGUACCCAAAGAAUAAGCACCGGCUAACUUCGUG
This 492-nucleotide ribosomal RNA is filed under the name uncultured bacterium. Its description in RNAcentral is "partial 16S ribosomal RNA". It matches the Rfam family "Bacterial small subunit ribosomal RNA", at positions 29 to 507 of the family's 1533-position model. The record is from RNAcentral.